This 420-nucleotide ribosomal RNA is filed under the name uncultured Nitrososphaerota archaeon. Its description in RNAcentral is "bacterial SSU rRNA". It matches the Rfam family "Archaeal small subunit ribosomal RNA", at positions 459 to 879 of the family's 1478-position model. Lineage: Archaea; Thermoproteati; Nitrososphaerota. The record is from RNAcentral.
CAGCCGCCGCGGUAAAACCAGCACCUCAAGUGGUCAGGAUGAUUAUUGGGCCUAAAGCAUCCGUAGCCGGCUCUGUAAGUUUUCGGUUAAAUCUGUACGCUUAACGUUCAGGCUGCCGGGAAUACUGCAGAGCUAGGGAGUGGGAGAGGUAGACGGUACUCGGUAGGAAGGGGUAAAAUCCUUUGAUCUAUUGAUGACCACCUGUGGCGAAGGCGGUCUACCAGAACACGUCCGACGGUGAGGGAUGAAAGCUGGGGGAGCAAACCGGAUUAGAUACCCGGGUAGUCCCAGCUGUAAACUAUGCAAACUCAGUGAUGCAUUGGCUUGUGGCCAAUGCAGUGCUGCAGGGAAGCCGUUAAGUUUGCCGCCUGGGAAGUACGUACGCAAGUAUGAAACUUAAAGGAAUUGGCGGGGGCGCAC